RNAcentral lists this ribosomal RNA (253 nucleotides) under uncultured bacterium. RNAcentral describes it as "partial 16S ribosomal RNA". It matches the Rfam family "Bacterial small subunit ribosomal RNA", at positions 524 to 776 of the family's 1533-position model. The record is from RNAcentral.
GACGGAGGGUGCUAGCGUUGUUCGGAAUUACUGGGCGUAAAGGGCGCGUAGGCGGCCUGGUCAGUCGGAUGUGAAAGCCCGGGGCUCAACCCCGGAACGGCAUCCGAGACGGUCAGGCUGGAGACCGGGAGAGGAGAGUGGAAUAGCCAGUGUAGAGGUGAAAUUCGUAGAUAUUGGCUGGAACACCGGUGGCGAAAGCGGCUCUCUGGCCCGGUUCUGACGCUGAGGCGCGAAAGCGUGGGGAGCGAACAGG